GACGAACGCUGGCGGCGUGCCUAACACAUGCAAGUCGAACGGGGAUAUUUUAACAGCAAUGGUAGGAUAUUCCAGUGGCGGACGGGUGAGUAACGCGUGAGCAAUCUGCCUAAAAGAGGGGGAUAACGACGGGAAACUGUCGCUAAUACCGCAUGAUAUACCGAGAGGGCAUCCUCAUGGUAUCAAAGGAGCAAUCCGCUUUUAGAUGAGCUCGCGUCCGAUUAGAUAGUUGGCGGGGUAACGGCCCACCAAGUCAGCGAUCGGUAGCCGGACUGAGAGGUUGAACGGCCACAUUGGGACUGAGAUACGGCCCAGACUCCUACGGGAGGCAGCAGUGGGGAAUAUUGGGCAAUGGGCGAAAGCCUGACCCAGCAACGCCGCGUGAAGGAAGAAGGCCUUCGGGUUGUAACUUUUUAGUACUACAGGACGAAGAAGUAGACGGUACUGUGAAACAAGACUCCGGCUAACUACGUGCCAGCAGCCGCGGUAAAGUACACGUCG
Molecule: ribosomal RNA, 501 nt
Filed under: uncultured bacterium
Lineage: Bacteria
Description: bacterial SSU rRNA
Rfam family: Bacterial small subunit ribosomal RNA
Source: RNAcentral